Ctenocephalides felis (cat flea) is the source of this 975-nucleotide long non-coding RNA. RefSeq lists it as uncharacterized. NCBI's taxonomy places the organism in Eukaryota, Metazoa, Arthropoda, Insecta, Siphonaptera, Pulicidae. The record is from RefSeq and is a predicted model, not a curated record. The transcript has 5 exons.
UUAUCCACUUCUGAAUCAAUCGACUCUAAUCAGACUGUAAGCGCUCAUGAACGAUCAGUCGACAAUCAACUGCUUGGGUUUUGGAACACUAAUUCUUAUAAAUUUGCACAAGUGGUUCUUUUUGUAACUGUGUUUAGUCUUAUGCAUGUUCUUACCAGUAGGCUUACUAACUCAUUAACAAUACUAACACAUUAAUAAUGUAGUUUGAUCAGUUACAAUAAAAACCACUUGUUGCAGUUUACUUAGGAAGACUUAGCGAAACGGCUCAGAAGAAAACACUUGGGUAAGCAAUGGUCUCUUCAGGAUUGCCCUCAACUUACACACGUGCCUGCAUUGGACUUAUCUUGCUGUCGGAAACAUUAACUCAAUGGUGUUCCUAGAGAAGAUACAUGCUGCAUUCAAUCAAGGGUGUAAUAGAAGAAUGUCAUCCGUCAGUUGUGAUAAAUCAAGACAAAGUAAACUGAUUGGCUCCAUUGUGAAGAUUGCGGAUACAGCAGUUUAGACAUUAAAACAUUCGUUGGGCAAAGAAAUAUAAGUAUUAAAAUAUUUUUAUACUUGAUAUAUAUACUUAAGAAUUAUGUUAAAUAAUUUGUUUUAUAGGCUUAUUUGACGAAACUUUAGGCGGUCUUCUGAAUGGUUUGCACUCUGGUCUCACUUUACUCGAACGUCUUGGAUUUUGGUCUCAUCUUGCUCGAAUAGCCUGCGGCCUGGUCUUGUACUUGUUGUAUCGAAUUGCUAAUUUGACUAGUACUGCUGAUCGUGCUGUCCCAAAACACUUGUCAAGAUUCUACUAUGUGUUGCAUUGAGAAGCCAAUGCCAAGAACCUAAAUGUAAUAUGGGAGAAAUUCAUUUAUCAAUUGUGAGGAAUUAAGACCAGAGUGAAGUGACCGGCAACCGAUGAACCUCAUUGUCAUGUUUGGGCGUCUUAAACUUCUGGCCACUGAUGACUUCGAGGUCUUUUGUUGUUAUAAAAAU